Molecule: long non-coding RNA, 307 nt
Filed under: Heterocephalus glaber (naked mole-rat)
Lineage: Eukaryota; Metazoa; Chordata; Mammalia; Rodentia; Bathyergidae
Description: lncRNA (ENSHGLG00000040552.1)
Source: RNAcentral
CUCAUUUACUCUCAGCCCAACACACACAGCCCGUGCUGUGGCCCAUCUAUGACUGGGUGCACCCGCCCUGAACAUCACCAUCACCCGGGUCCCAGUUACUCCAGGGUUCACUCCUGAUGCUGUGCGUUCUGUGGGUAUGGACAGAGGUGUAGUCAUGACAGUACCUCCUGCUACAAUACCACAGAAUGCCAUAACGUUGGAGCCACACAGCAAUAGUCUUUUCAGAUUGGCAUCUUUCAUUUGGUGUGGGAGUUACAUCUCUUCCCCUAUAUCAUUUUGGAGGUUCCACCGAGAUUACUGGCCAGAG